UUUAGCUUUCUGACGUAUGAUUUAGUCCUUACAGAAACACCCUGACAGGAAAAUGUAAGAAGUGAUGGAUGAUUUUUAUUAGGCAGGUUUUUUUAGACUAUACAAACCACACCACAUGAGUGACUCACAUGGGUGAAUGGUUUCUCUCAAGUAUGAAGUCUCACGUGAAGCUCAAGACUCUCUUCCCACACUUCUCUCCGGCGUGGAUUCUCAUGUGUACCAUAAGAUUUGAUGAUUGUGUGAAGCUCUUCCCACACUGAUCACAUGUGAAUGGCUUCUCCCCAGUGUGAACACUCAUGUGAAGCACAAGGUUGUCUUUCCUUGAGAAACGCUUUCAACAUUAAGUGCAGCAAACACUAGCGCUCCCAGAUGGUCAAACACUGCCUGCUUGCAAAUGAUGUUCUCUUCUUUAGGAUGAAAAGGAGAAGAUCAGCAAAUCAAUGGUAAAUGCACUUGCUCUUUCUUUUGGUUGUUUUCAUGCCUUAUCUCCUCCUUGCCACUGCUGCUGUGGAUUUUCUUGGCUCUUGUUGCUGCCCUCUACUGGAACAAAGUGGAUAUUGAAACCACAAGUUGUCAAAGCUGCAUUAUUUUUCUUAAAAACUUGUAUUUUACAACACUCGAAGCUUUUACCCAUUACCUCAUUAUUUCCCACUUGUUAUUUCACCGGCUUGUUGAUUCCAGAGAGAGUUUACGGAGAUCACCAGAUCUCGAAACGUGGGUCUGUGCUGAAGAGCUCUGGAUUCAAUUCUGUUCUCGAAGAGCCUACAGAUACAAACACAUAUUAUAUAUGAUAUUAGCUACAACCUGCUGCCUUAAUUCCUCAUCUGUAAAUCGCUUUGGAUGAAAGCAUCUGAUAAAUGAAUACAUGUAAAACACACUUAACAUCAUUAAUGAUUUUCACUCUGUCGCACAUGACAAUAUAAACUAUCCGUUACAAUUUGAACACACUUGACAGAUUUUUAUGUCUACAAGCUUUGAUCUAAAGGCUUUGCUUAAAUUUAGCUGACAAGUAUACAUUGUCUCUUUAAAUUUAUUUCGUAAUAAAAAAAAUAGAUAUUUUGAGAUUUUAAUAAGUUUAAAUAACUUUGGGCUAGAUUGUGAGACUCAGACACGCACCAUACUGUCUGUAUGUUACUGCUGUGAGUGACGAUCCGGUGGAUUUUCCUCGCCCCAGUGUCAGUGAUGCUAUUGCUACUGAAACUGAAAGAAAGAAAAAGAAAGAAAAAAAACUGAAUUUAACAACUAACAUAUUGCUACUUACUAGGCAAUCACAUAAUAAUUGCUGUUAAUAGUGUUCGUCUGGUUGAGAGCAUCUUGUAUUCAUUUUUCUGAAAAUUCCUGUCAUAUGGACAUAAAAUGACAGUCACCACUGAUAAGAUACUACUAAAUAUUGUAAAAACUGAAUUUUCUGUAGAGUUGAAUUGAACAACUAUUACAUUCUACUAGAGUGAUUUUCUAGAGUCAGCAAACAGUACACUGACUGAACUGCUGUGAAGAGAGAACUGAAGAUGAACACAGAGCCGAGCAAGAUAAUGACUUGUUCUCGAGUCAAGAACCAUUU
This is a long non-coding RNA of Carassius auratus (goldfish), 1561 nucleotides long. RefSeq lists it as uncharacterized. The record is from RefSeq and is a predicted model, not a curated record. NCBI's taxonomy places the organism in Eukaryota, Metazoa, Chordata, Actinopteri, Cypriniformes, Cyprinidae. The transcript has 3 exons.